UGUCAGGCCCUACCCUCUUCUCUUGAUGAUACACUGUCAGGCCCUACCCUCUUCUCUUGAUGAUACUGUCAGGCCCUACCCUCUCUGCUUGAUGAUACACUGUCAGGCCCUACCCUCUUCUCUUGAUGAUACUGUCAGGUCCAACCCUCUCUGCUUGAUGAUACACUGUCAGGCCCUACCCUCUUCUCUUGAUGAUACUGUCAGGCCCUACCCUCUUCUCUUGAUGAUACACUGUCAGGCCCUACCCUCUUCUCUUGAUGAUACUGUCAGGCCCUACCCUCUUCUCUUGGGUCCACAUGAAUAACCUCCACAUGGCAGGGCCCUACCCUCUUCUCUUGAUGAUACUGUCAGGUCCAACCCUCUCUGCUUGGGUCCACAUGAAUAACCUCCACAUGGCAGGGCCCUACAGAGGGUACAUUUUACUUACAUUUGCGCCUAAAUAUUUUGCUGUGCAACCUGGAAUUUGAAUUUAGGAGCACCAGUGCACCUAUAAAAAUGAUGUAUUCUAGCUACGUUGUUCAACCUGUCAACGUAGUGUGGUAUGUGCUUUCUGUUAGACAUGUAACAUUAUGGAUGUAAAUUGUGAUUGUUGAUGUUAGCUGCAGCCACCGACACCAGCCCUGGAUCUAAGUCUGAAUCAUAAAUGAUGCAAGAAUAACUCUGAACCUGAUGAAACACAGGACCUGUUCAUAGACGGGGCUUCAUGCAGCCUUGGAAUAUCAACAACAACAACGUUGAAAGUACGUCUCGUGCUCACUGGGAUACCGAUACAGCUCCAGGGAUAAACAGAGCUCCUGAUUGAAUCGAUCCCCAGGUCGGUAUGUUGAACCCAGCUGGAGGUGUUUCUCUAUGUUCUGAAACACCUGUUCCUUUAACCCACCUGGUGAUGGUAAAGGGGAAACUCUAUACUUGAAAUCAAUGUGUUUUUAUUCAUCAGCUGUAUAGUAGGCUUUCUUUAGUUAACCAAAGCCAUAACUAGUCAGUUUAUCAUAUUUUAAUAUAUAUACCAUGUGAUUAUUUAUUUGUUGGUGAUAUUUACUAUAUAAACCAAGUGGCUGGUUCUCUUGGUUCCUGCUGUCAAAGGUCUUUGAUCUAGCUGCUCAUCAUCCUUCAUCUUCUUUAUAACCAAGUGGCUGGUUCUCUUGGUUCCUGCUGUCAAAGGUCUUUGAUCUAGCUGCUCAUCAUCCUUCAUCUUCUUUAUAACCAAGUGGCUGGUUCUCUUGGUUCCUGCUGUCAAAGGUCUUUGAUCUAGCUGCUCAUCAUCCUUCAUCUUCUUUAUAACCAAGUGGCUGGUUCUCUUGGUUCCUGCUGUCAAAGGUCUUUGAUCUAGCUGCUCAUCAUCCUUCAUCUUCUUUAUAACCAAGUGGCUGGUUCUCUUGGUUCCUGCUGUCAAAGGUCUUUGAUCUUGCUGCUCAUCAUCCUUCAUCUUCUUUAUAACCAAGUGGCUGGUUCUCUUGGUUCCUGCUGUCAAAGGUCUUUGAUCUAGCUGCUCAUCAUCCUUCAUCUUCUUUAUAACCAAGUGGCUGGUUCUCUUGGUUCCUGCUGUCAAAGGUCUUUGAUCUAGCUGCUCAUCAUCCUUCAUCUUCUUUAUAA
Molecule: long non-coding RNA, 1593 nt
Organism: Oncorhynchus gorbuscha (pink salmon)
Lineage: Eukaryota; Metazoa; Chordata; Actinopteri; Salmoniformes; Salmonidae
Exons: 2
Source: RefSeq, a predicted model, not a curated record